Molecule: ribosomal RNA, 330 nt
Filed under: uncultured bacterium
Lineage: Bacteria
Description: bacterial SSU rRNA
Rfam family: Bacterial small subunit ribosomal RNA
Source: RNAcentral
UCCGUAGGCGGUGUGGCAAGUCGGGGGUGAAAUCUCUGGGCUUAACUCAGAGACUGCCUCCGAAACUGCCGUGCUUGAGUGUGGGAGAGGCGCGUGGAAUUGCAGGUGUAGCGGUGAAAUGCGUAGAUAUCUGCAGGAACACCCGUGGCGAAAGCGGCGCGCUGGACCACAACUGACGCUGAGGGACGAAAGCUAGGGGAGCAAACAGGAUUAGAUACCCUGGUAGUCCUAGCCCUAAACGAUCAGGACUUGGGGUGUCUCGCGUCCGCGAGACGUCCCGGAGCUAACGCAUUAAGUCCUGCACCUGGGGAGUACGGUCGCAAGACUGAA